Long non-coding RNA from Peromyscus californicus insignis, 1874 nucleotides. RefSeq lists it as uncharacterized. Lineage: Eukaryota; Metazoa; Chordata; Mammalia; Rodentia; Cricetidae. The record is from RefSeq and is a predicted model, not a curated record. The transcript is spliced from 6 exons.
UUGAGUCCUUACCUUCCCGGUAUUUCAUUAAUUUGACUUCAAGCUCCAUUCUGCUCCCAGGGAGGUUAGUCUUGGUUUUUGACUGCAUUUCUUGGUUCUCAUCGAUAAGUAGGUUGCAAGAAGCAGAAUUACACAGACAUAUAAGAGCUAAAUUACUAUCCAGGAUGAGCCAGGCAGAGUGCAGAAAGACAGGCUGAUCAGAGGAACCCAACGCCAGGCCACUGUGGUUGGAAGCAUUGCAUAGAGAUGUGAAGAUGGCUUAAUGAGAAUGAAUGGGUCCAGAUAACGAACUCAGCUCAUACCACCCAUGAGCAGCCAAGGAGGAUGAGAUCAUCUGUGGAACCUAGUGUGUUGUGUUGCUGGGUUUUCACGCAGGUUUCCCUGUCUCCGAACUGCACCUUCAAGACAGGAUGGGGCUGUCGAGGGAGAGGAAACUGAGUCAGAAAAGAAAAAGUCAUAUGCCACAGCUCUGCUGUAUGUUUGCUGUGGGUCUUAAGGAAGUGAUUUGCCUGUACUCCAAUGGGAAGAGGAGGGCUGAACUGGCAGGGCUUGCUCAAGGCACGGCGGCUGGUGUGGCUGCAUAGAAGACAUCAGUCCUUCCUAGCCAUCCUCGGGUGUCCAGAUCUAGUGUUUGUGCUAUUUAUGUCUCACCCCACAUCUCUGUAGCGCUCCUGGGGAGCUAGAGGAACAAAAAUUUCUGCUUUACUGAGAAUUCUCCUAUUAUUUUUCUCUCUGGAGAAGCCUGUCCUCCUUUGAUCUGAGAUUGACAAUCAGGCUAUUCUGAGAAGGACUAAUUACAGAACACAUCCGCUCCUUCCAGACUCUGACACUGCCUGGCUGCAGGAGGAUGGAGCUCAGUCCUGUUGCCUUUGGAGACACUCUUCCUGGUUUCUAAAAUGGAGCUAGCCAUGCCUCUGCCUGCGGGCUAGGAUUCCUGAGGACUGGAAGCAUUUUCUGCUGGGCAAGGUUCACUGAGCAGUAACCCUUGGUCUGGACAGCCUGAGAGCACUUCUCAGCCCUGUAACCCAAACAAGCAAGGGUGUGUUGGAUCUGCGGGACCUCUGAAUGUCCUUCAGGACACAUUGGAAACCAAAGAAGCUGGAUGCUGAUGGCAGCAGUGGAGGCUGGCACACCAAGGAGCGAAAAGUGAGGCAAGGAAGCAAGCUUGAGUUUUCCUCAGACCACCUCAUCUCUGGGCUGCCUGCCAGAAGAGGCUGCCCUUUCUGGGAGAGGGUCUUCUUCCCUCGGUUGACCUUGAGAUGCCUUUGCAGCACCACCCAAAGGCAGGACCACAUAUCCAGGAAUCACAUUGACUACAGUGAGCUGGACCCUCCAAGGUCAGUUCGCAAACAAGAAAAUGCCCUCCAGGGACAUGCUCACAGACUAGGCUGAUGGAGGCCAUUCCUCAAUUGAGGUUCCUUCAUCCCAGGUUGGACAUGUCAGAGGGCUUAUCAUUGAGAUACUAUGGGCCUUCUGACUAGGCACCAGGGACUCUGUAUCCGUUGCACCAAGCUGGGAGGAGUUUCCUUAAUGAGAGAGGUGUACAAGAGAAUUAGAAGAGUAACCAGUGUGCAGCGUGGCCUCUCAGCAUCUUCCACUGUGACCUUGGCCAUGACCCUUCUGCUGCCCUGCUGUAAACUUUUCCACCUCCCAAAGGAAGCAGUUGACAUUUGAGUUCUGGCUUCAGUGUUGAAGAGUUUAUGAAUGGGGACCCCGCAAUAAGACAGACUAUUGUGAACUGAUGACAUUCCCCACAGACACAACGAGGAAAAGAAAUGUGGUCCCUGGAGAAUUAUCGAGCUAUGCAAAUGCUCUGUAAAUAUGAGACAUGGCAUCGAUUUUUCGGAAUGUCAGAAGCUGUAAAGUAAAUCUCA